Molecule: ribosomal RNA, 782 nt
Filed under: uncultured Neocallimastigales
Lineage: Eukaryota; Fungi; Neocallimastigomycota; Neocallimastigomycetes; Neocallimastigales
Description: partial large subunit ribosomal RNA
Rfam family: Eukaryotic large subunit ribosomal RNA
Source: RNAcentral
CAUCACUACGCUAGAUGCAUAUCAAUAAGCGGAGGAAAAGGAAACUAACUAAGGAUUCCCUUAGUAACGGCGAGUGAAGCGGGAAGAGCUCAAAUUUGAAAUCUUAAAGGGUUUCCCUUUACGAAUUGUAGUUUAAAGAAGUGUUUUCUGUUGGAGUUUCGGUAAAAGUUCUUUGGAAUAGGACAUCAUAGAGGGUGAGAAUCCCGUAUUUGACCGUUACUCUCCAGCUGUGUGAUACACUUUCAAAGAGUCGGAUUGUUUGGGAAUGCAGUCCAAAAUGGGUGGUAAAUUUCAUCUAAAGCUAAAUAUUGGCGAGAGACCGAUAGCGAACAAGUACCGUGAGGGAAAGAUGAAAAGAACUUUGAAAAGAGAGUUAAACAGUACGUGAAAUUGUCAAAAGGGAAGCGUUUGACACCAGUGUUGUUUAGUUGAAAAUCAAUUCAAUAAUUUUUGAUUUUAAGUAGUAUUGACUUCAUCAGCUUGCUGCUUUCUUUUCAGGAAAUUAUUGAAGUGCACUUUUCAGUUAACAAGUCAACAUCAAUUUCUUUUGUUGUAAAAGGGUAAGAGGAAGGUGGCUUACGCUUCGGCGUAAGUGUUUAUAGCCUUUUACCUCUGCAAUCGGAGAGAUUGAGGACAGCAGCGUAGACUCCUUCGGGGGUUAGAUACACUUGUGCUAAGCUAUAGCCUUGUAUAGACAACUUGUUGACUAUGCUCAGUCAUGUAGCUUACUCGCUUGAUGCUAUUUUACCUACGCUUAGGAUGUUGACACACGCGCGUGCUCG